CAGCCGCCGCGGUAAUACGUAGGGUGCAAGCGUUGUCCGGAAUUAUUGGGCGUAAAGAGCUCGUAGGCGGUUUGUCGCGUCUGCUGUGAAAUCCCGAGGCUCAACCUCGGGCUUGCAGUGGGUACGGGCAGACUAGAGUGCGGUAGGGGAGAUUGGAAUUCCUGGUGUAGCGGUGGAAUGCGCAGAUAUCAGGAGGAACACCGAUGGCGAAGGCAGAUCUCUGGGCCGUAACUGACGCUGAGGAGCGAAAGCGUGGGGAGCGAACAGGAUUAGAUACCCCUGUAGUCCCUGUCUCUUAUAC
This 301-nucleotide ribosomal RNA is filed under the name uncultured bacterium. RNAcentral's name for it is "partial 16S ribosomal RNA". It matches the Rfam family "Bacterial small subunit ribosomal RNA", at positions 509 to 807 of the family's 1533-position model. The record is from RNAcentral.